GGGCUUCGGCCCCCGGUAUCGUGGCGAACGGGUGCGUAACACGUGGGUAAUCAACCUCAUGGCGGGGGACAACCUUCCGAAAGGAUGGCUAAUACCGCAUAAGUCGGCUGAAUCUAUGAUUUGGUCGGGAAAGGCGGGUCGCAAGAUCUGUCACCAUGAGACGAGCCCGCGUCCCAUCAUGCUAGUUGGUGAGGUAAUGGCUCACCAAGGCUUAGACGGGUAGCUGGUCUGAGAGGAUGAUCAGCCACACUGGAACUGCGACACGGUCCAGACUCCUACGGGAGGCAGCAGUGGGGAAUAUUGGGCAAUGGGCGCAAGCCUGACCCAGCCACGCCGCGUGAGUGAUGAAGGCCUUCGGGUCGUAAAGCUCUGUGGGGAGGGAAGAAAAGCUACGUGCUAAUACCACGGAGUCUUGACGGUACCUCCUUAGCAAGCACCGGCUAACCACGUGCCAGCAGCCGCGGUAAUACGUGGGGUGCAAACGUUGCUCGGAAUUAUUGGGCGUAAAGCGCACGUAGGCGGCUCUCUAAGUCGCAUGUGAAAGCCCCAGGCUUAACCUGGGAAGUGCAUGCGAUACUGGGAAAGCUUGAGUACUAAAGGGGGUCGCGGAAUUCCCGGUGUAGAAGUGAAAUUCGUAAAUUUCGGGAGGAACACCAGC
RNAcentral lists this ribosomal RNA (658 nucleotides) under uncultured bacterium. Its description in RNAcentral is "bacterial SSU rRNA". It matches the Rfam family "Bacterial small subunit ribosomal RNA", at positions 75 to 713 of the family's 1533-position model. The record is from RNAcentral.